UUUUCUUUAGUAUAAAAAGUAUAUUUAACUUCCAAUUAAAAGGUUUUUAAAAAAAGAAAAA
RNAcentral lists this transfer RNA (61 nucleotides) under Saccharosydne procerus. RNAcentral describes it as "tRNA-Gly". Lineage: Eukaryota; Metazoa; Arthropoda; Insecta; Hemiptera; Delphacidae. The record is from RNAcentral.